AUUUUAGAGGAGAUAUUUGGUUUAAUAUUUACUCGAAUUUCCAUUAGAAACAUUUUAAUGAAUGUCUAUUUCAGCACCUAUAGCGGAUGAACGUCAAUCCUGUCACAUACAUUUAAAACCCUCUCGAGCUUAUAAAGACAACGAUCAAAAUGAUUAAAACCGAAUUUGCGGAAAAGACGAUGUCCAAAUGGAAUGCAAUUUUAAAGAAAAAUUGCGGUUUCGAAACUAUAUUACGAAUUAAUGACACCUUACAAGCUGAAAUCGUUAAUGAUGUAAAAGAUUGCACCUAUUACAUCUUAUAAUAUCAAACGAUAAUUCUCUAGUCGUAAAUUGGCC
This 336-nucleotide unclassified non-coding RNA is filed under the name Bombus terrestris (buff-tailed bumblebee). Its description in RNAcentral is "misc RNA ENSBTSG00005026766.1". Lineage: Eukaryota; Metazoa; Arthropoda; Insecta; Hymenoptera; Apidae. The record is from RNAcentral.